Molecule: non-coding RNA, 73 nt
Organism: Paramuricea clavata
Lineage: Eukaryota; Metazoa; Cnidaria; Anthozoa; Malacalcyonacea; Plexauridae
Source: the annotation of a GenBank genome assembly
CUCCGCGUAGCUCAGUUGGAAGAGCAUUGGGCUAGUAUUCCAAAGGUCGUAGGUUCGAAUCCCACCGUGGCCG